UACGUAGGGUCCGAGCGUUGUCCGGAAUUAUUGGGCGUAAAGGGCUCGUAGGCGGUCUGUCGCGUCGGUAGUGAAAACUCAGGGCUUAACCCUGAGCCUGCUUCCGAUACGGGCAGACUAGAGGUAUGCAGGGGAGAAUGGAAUUCCUGGUGUAGCGGUGAAAUGCGCAGAUAUCAGGAGGAACACCGGUGGCGAAGGCGGUUCUCUGGGCAUUACCUGACGCUGAGGAGCGAAAGUGUGGGGAGCGAACAGG
RNAcentral lists this ribosomal RNA (253 nucleotides) under uncultured bacterium. RNAcentral's name for it is "partial 16S ribosomal RNA". It matches the Rfam family "Bacterial small subunit ribosomal RNA", at positions 524 to 776 of the family's 1533-position model. The record is from RNAcentral.